UACGUAGGGUCCGAGCGUUGUCCGGAAUUAUUGGGCGUAAAGAGCUCGUAGGCGGUUUGUCGCGUCUGCUGUGAAAUCCCGAGGCUCAACCUCGGGUCUGCAGUGGGUACGGGCAGACUGGAGUGCGGUAGGGGAGAAUGGAAUUCCUGGUGUAGCGGUGAAAUGCGCAGAUAUCAGGAGGAACACCGGUGGCGAAGGCGGGUCUCUGGGCAACAACUGACGCUGAGGAGCGAAAGCGUGGGGAGCGAACAGG
RNAcentral lists this ribosomal RNA (253 nucleotides) under uncultured bacterium. RNAcentral's name for it is "partial 16S ribosomal RNA". It matches the Rfam family "Bacterial small subunit ribosomal RNA", at positions 524 to 776 of the family's 1533-position model. The record is from RNAcentral.